CCCCCGCUUGAGGGUGAAGUGACGAAGCUGAAUAUAGGUGCAUGCAUAGCUGAAAAUAGUUGUUUUUUGGGGAGGGUGAGCAGUUAUUUGGGGUGGAUAGUUUAAGUUAAGACUUUUUCUUUUUCAUAUUUCAUUUUAUUUUAGCAUGGACAGUAAUAACACAUCUAAAAAUAUUAGCGCUCUCAAGAGUCCGCAAUCCGUUGUUAACUUAGAACCAAAGAAAAAAAAGGCAAAAUGUAAUGAUGUGGAAUUAAUAGAUGGUCGGCGAAUAUUUGAUAUAAACCAUCUCUUCGGACAAAUUUUAAACAACGAAACACAUGAGCCAUUUGGUUGUUCCAUAGUUAAUAUGGAAAUCGUCAAAGAAAACCGAAAUGGCUUAUAUAGUGCAUUUACUUUAAAAUGUAAGAUGUGUAACGUUACUAAAAUAAUUACAAAUGAGGACAAAGAUGAACGAAAACUUGACGCUAAUUCGGCUAUAGUUAUAAGUACUAUUUCUACGGGUCUUGGAUAUUCCCAAAUAAAUGAAAUAGCUGCUAUAUUGAAUAUGCCGUUUAUGAGUGGAAAUACUUUUACCAGCUAUCAUGAUAAAGUUACAGACUUAGUCAGAGAAUCCUCAUGGAAGAGUAUGCAGGAAGCGGCAUCUGAAGAAGCACAAAUAGCAAUAGCUGAGGGCGAAGUUGAUACCAAUGGCAUUCCAUGUAUUACUGUAGUGACUGAUGGCGCAUGGGGAAAGCGUUCAUAUAACGUUAAUUAUGAUUCUUCAUCUGGUGUGGUAAUUAUAAUAUUGGUUUAAAAUCCAAUUAAAAAAAAAAAUUUAAAACAUAAUAAACAACUCAAACAAAUUUGUAGGCCUGCAUUGUGGGAUACAAAACAGGUAAAAUAUUGUUUCUUGGAAUAAGAAACAAAUUUUGCUCAGUAUGCUCGUGGUACCAAAAUAAGAAAAGAGAAAUUCCUGUACAUAAAUGUUAUAAAAACUGGAGCGGUACAUCGACCUCAAUGGAAGCGGACAUUAUUUUGGAAGGUUUUAAAAAAAGUGUAGAGUUUUAUAAUCUAAAAUACACUAAAAUGAUUGGAGAUGGAGAUUCUUCGGUAUACCGUAAAUUGUUGCAGUCUAAACCUUAUGGUAAUAAUUUGGUUCAAAAAGUGGAGUGCAAAAAUCAUUUAUUGCGAAAUUUUGCAAAAAAAGUUCGACAAAUCUGUAAUAAAAAGCGAAGUAGCUCCAAAAAUUUACCAGUACCUUUGGCACUUAGGAAAGAAGUUUUUAGCCGGUUUUUGAGACUAAGGGCUGCAAUUACAAAAGCUACUGCAUAUAGAAUGCAAGAGGAAAACUUAAUAGAUGAAAAGAUUUCCUUACUCAGAGGUGACAUUUAUAACGCUCCAAGUCAUGUAUUUGGAGAACACGCCCAGUGCAAGGCAAGAAAUUACUUCAAGUGUGAUAGAGGUGAUAAGGAAAUAAAUAUGGUUCCCAUUAUGCAAAAUUGCGGCAUUUAUGAAGAUGUCCUAGCAGCACUACAAAGAGUAGUUGAUAAUAGCAGCAGUCUAAUCCUCAACAUGGAUAAUAAUCUUGCGGAGCACUAUAAUAAUGUCGUUUGCAAAUU
Molecule: long non-coding RNA, 1598 nt
Filed under: Anthonomus grandis grandis
Lineage: Eukaryota; Metazoa; Arthropoda; Insecta; Coleoptera; Curculionidae
Description: uncharacterized LOC126747031
Source: RNAcentral